This is a non-coding RNA of Omnitrophica WOR_2 bacterium, 74 nucleotides long. The record is from Rfam. NCBI's taxonomy places the organism in Bacteria, Pseudomonadati, Candidatus Omnitrophota.
GCGCCCGUAGCUCACUUGGAUAGAGCGCUUGGCUUCGAACCAAGAGGCAGCAGGUUCGAAUCCUGCCGGGCGCG